RNAcentral lists this transfer RNA (69 nucleotides) under Berthellina sp. TLT-2006. RNAcentral describes it as "tRNA-Lys". Lineage: Eukaryota; Metazoa; Mollusca; Gastropoda; Pleurobranchida; Pleurobranchidae. The record is from RNAcentral.
GUUUUAGUGACUGAGUUAAAUAAGUGUUAGAUUUUUAAUCUACAAACGGGACGUUAGUUCCCUAAAGCA